RNAcentral lists this unclassified non-coding RNA (330 nucleotides) under soil metagenome. RNAcentral's name for it is "partial contains 5.8S ribosomal RNA, internal transcribed spacer 2, and large subunit ribosomal RNA". The stretch from base 1 to 122 matches the Rfam family "5.8S ribosomal RNA", at positions 35 to 154 of the family's 154-position model. The record is from RNAcentral.
GAUGAAGAACGCAGCGAAAUGCGAUACGUAAUGUGAAUUGCAGAUCUCUCAGUGAAUCAUCGAAUCUUUGAACGCACAUUGCGCCCGCCGGUAUUCUGGCGGGCAUGCCUGUUCGAGCGUCAUUUCAACCAUCAAGCGCUCGCUUGUGUUGGGGCCCUGCGGCCGCCGCAGCCCCCCAAAUCCAGUGGCGGGCCCGUCGUCGUACCGAGCGCAGUAGACAUCCUCGCUCGCGGACGCCGGCGGGCGCCGGCCGUGAAACCCCCCUCUCCAGGUUGACCUCGGAUCAGGUAGGAAUACCCGCUGAACUUAAGCAUAUCAAUAAGCGGAGGA